Daktulosphaira vitifoliae (grape phylloxera) is the source of this 515-nucleotide long non-coding RNA. RefSeq lists it as uncharacterized. The transcript has 2 exons. The record is from RefSeq and is a predicted model, not a curated record. Lineage: Eukaryota; Metazoa; Arthropoda; Insecta; Hemiptera; Phylloxeridae.
CACAUAGAUGUUAAGUUUUAUAUUUUGGUUUAUUAAAUUCUAUUAUUUAACUUUGUUAAUUUAUAAGCUUUCUAAUUAAUUACUUUUUUUAAUAUCAAUGAUUGAAGACAAUAGUUUUUUUUCUGUUUUAUUUAGUUUUUGUAAUUAAUGUAUUUAAUGAUAAAAUUCCGGAUAAAUUAGAAUCAUUUUAUUAAUGCUACUUUAGAUUUUACAAGGUAUUGUAAUUAAUUUUUUUUUUUUUAUAAUUAUUUCUCAAUUAUAUUAAUAUAUUUUUGAUUACAGGAUCUUUUGGAAAUUCAACAAGUGAAGAUAGCACUGAAGAAAACAUUGACUCAAUAACCAGUUUUGAAUUUUUGGACUCCGAUGAGAAUUCUUAUUCAGCAGAAUAUUGUUCUCUCGAAGAUGAUGAAGAAUAUUUUUAAUUAAUCUAAAUUUGUUAAGACAUUUUGGAAAUGAAUAAUUAAUUAAAAUGUAAUAUUGAUUGAUAAAUUCAAUAUACUUUAUUAUUAUUUUUA